AAAGGUCCUGCUAAUGAGCAGACGGUGAAUCAGGAUGAACAUCAGCAGCAAGUGUACUCCUCUCUUCUUCAUGGUGAUCGUUGUGUCUAUGAGACAAUCAGAGGCUCUGAAAACACUGAAAAUGGACAACGUGGUGACCCAGAGGAGAGCUCUGACUACUAUAAUGUGAAUCCAAAUUCAGCCACAGCUCUAAAAUCUUAACAGCAGCUCUUUAGCUGUUUUUAUCUUUU
Molecule: long non-coding RNA, 230 nt
Organism: Archocentrus centrarchus (flier cichlid)
Lineage: Eukaryota; Metazoa; Chordata; Actinopteri; Cichliformes; Cichlidae
Exons: 3
Source: RefSeq, a predicted model, not a curated record